This 468-nucleotide ribosomal RNA is filed under the name uncultured bacterium. RNAcentral describes it as "partial 16S ribosomal RNA". It matches the Rfam family "Bacterial small subunit ribosomal RNA", at positions 28 to 507 of the family's 1533-position model. The record is from RNAcentral.
GACGAACGCUGGCGGCGUGCUUAACACAUGCAAGUCGAACGGAAAGGCCCUGCUUUUGUGGGGUGCUCGAGUGGCGAACGGGUGAGUAACACGUGAGUAACCUGCCCUUGACUUUGGGAUAACUUCAGGAAACUGGGGCUAAUCCCGGAUAGGAGCUCCUGCUGCAUGGUGGGGGUUGGAAAGUUUCGGCGGUUGGGGAUGGACUCGCGGCUUAUCAGCUUGUUGGUUGGGUAGUGGCUUACCCAGGCUUUGACGGGUAGCCGGCCUGUGAGGGUGACCGGCGACAUGGGGACUGAGAGACGGACCAGACUCGUACGGGAGGCAGCAGGGGGGAAUAUUGCACAAUGGGAGGAAGCCUGAGGCAGCAACGCCGCGUGCGGGAUGACGGCCUUCGGGGUGUAAACAGCUUUCGCCUGUGACGAAGCGUGAGUGACGGUAAUGGGUAAAGAAGCACCGGCUAACUACGUG